RNAcentral lists this ribosomal RNA (484 nucleotides) under uncultured bacterium. Its description in RNAcentral is "partial 16S ribosomal RNA". It matches the Rfam family "Bacterial small subunit ribosomal RNA", at positions 30 to 507 of the family's 1533-position model. The record is from RNAcentral.
AUUGAACGCUGGCGGCAGGCCUAACACAUGCAAGUCGAGCGGAUGAAGGGAGCUUGCUCCUGGAUUCAGCGGCGGACGGGUGAGUAAUGCCUAGGAAUCUGCCUGGUAGUGGGGGAUAACGUCCGGAAACGGGCGCUAAUACCGCAUACGUCCUGAGGGAGAAAGUGGGGGAUCUUCGGACCUCACGCUAUCAGAUGAGCCUAGGUCGGAUUAGCUAGUUGGUGGGGUAAAGGCCUACCAAGGCGACGAUCCGUAACUGGCCUGAGAGGAUGAUCAGUCACACUGGAACUGAGACACGGUCCCGACUCCUACGGGAGGCAGCAGUGGGGAAUAUUGGACAAUGGGCGAAAGCCUGAUCCAGCCAUGCCGCGUGUGUGAAGAAGGUCCUCGGAUUGUAAAGCACUUUAAGUUGGGAGGAAGGGCAGUAAGUUAAUACCUUGCUGUUUUGACGUUACCAACAGAAUAAGCACCGGCUAACUUCGUG